Molecule: long non-coding RNA, 827 nt
Filed under: Olea europaea subsp. europaea
Lineage: Eukaryota; Viridiplantae; Streptophyta; Magnoliopsida; Lamiales; Oleaceae
Source: RNAcentral
UUAUGAGUCAACAACAAUGAUAAUGGGAAAUCAUUAAACAGAAGCUAAAAAGAUCGAAAUAUACAGAGCAAAACUUGCAAAAUUUUGACAAACAAGAGCUGUAAUUUCUGCAAUUGAAUGAGCACCCCGUGUCAUUUGAUGAUGAAUUUUAGUUCCCCCAGGUUGAUUUGUAGAUCGGAGCAUAUUUGAGCCUUUAAUUGAAAUGGGGUCGAGCGGCAUUUCCUGCUUACAAUCGGGCGCAGUAAGUAUCGCCUAUAAAGUUUUUUAGCUCUUCUCUUUCCUUUCCCGAUUGGUUCUGUGUCAGGUGAGUGGCGGAACUUAUCCUGCAUGAAAGCACUUUGCUAUAGGCCUUCCUCGUUAGACGAAUUCACUCAAUCAAAGAUUUUUCCUUCAUUCAUCACCUUUGUAGAAGUACUGAUCUCCCUACCAUUUUAUUCUCUUCCACUUUGGCCAAUAUGAGUUCACCUGGUACUAACGGCAUUUCCUGCUUGCAGGUUCACUUCAUGUUAGAUUCGAGCUAAAUUGACGAAGACCCAUAUAUGUAUGUUGUCCGCCAUAAUGAGUAGGAGGUAAUGGUGGUGGUGCGCGAUCGUGAUUCUCAAUGCCGACGUCAAAAUUUGGGUAGCACUGUGCGUGGUUCGCUGCAUUCGAAUAGGCAAAAUCUUUCCCAUUUUCUUUAGAUGUUGGUAUGGAGUUGAAGAAUGGGAUAAGGACAUGUUGAUGGUGUGGAAAUCCAGUGGUUUGUGUGGCGGUACAGUGGUCGGGUUCGUGAGUAGAAGGUGUCGGCUUGAGGUGGAGUAGAUGCAGUGGAAGUGUGGAACUGGGUU